RNAcentral lists this long non-coding RNA (670 nucleotides) under Nicotiana benthamiana. Its description in RNAcentral is "long non-coding RNA (NBEN_LNC021823)". The record is from RNAcentral. Lineage: Eukaryota; Viridiplantae; Streptophyta; Magnoliopsida; Solanales; Solanaceae.
GUUAAUGUUCGAGUCAUGGAAUCAACCACUAAUACUUAUAUUAUAGUAAGUUGUUUACAUCAAACCCCUUACACAGCGGUCUUUUCCCGAAUAUUACAUGGAUGUAAAAUGCCCUUUUCUUCUUUCUACAACAAGCUAGCUAGUAUACUUAAUUUUUUCUUUCAUUUCAUAAUGAAGGAUUUACAACACCCCAUUCUUUACUAUAUUUAUCUUUUCGUAUAAAUCCAAAGACAAUAAAGAAAACAAAAGAAAAAGUGAUCAAAUUAAGAAAUAAUAACUAUAUUUUAACUACAUUUUUAUAUAUGAUCCCAACUGCACUCGAAAUUUGAUCAAACAUCAUGGUUUAUUGAUCACUUUCUUGCUUGUUGAACAAGUUGCUGAACCUAAGGUUUGAUAAUUUAUAUAUCGACUAGGAGCAGACGAUCUUCGUAUACCCUUUGGUAAACAAUCCUCCAGACCUUGAUCACCAUUAAAAAAACCUUCUUUUCUGCCAUUGAUAUUAGGUUUAAAUCUUGUAGAAGCUUCAUUUUCUGCAGUGGCAAGAAAAACCCUAGUAGGAAAGAAGAUGAGAAAAUAAAAUAUAACUAUGAAAAGUGAAUGACAUAGCAUUUUGAGAACUUGUGAUUUAUAUAUAAAUUUUGUUGUGUAUAUAUGGAGAAGGCAAUGGUUU